CUGGCUCAGGAUGAACGCUGGCGGCGUAGCUUAACACGAUGCAAGUCGAACGGAGUUUUAACGGAAGUUUCGGAUGGAAGUUUAGAAACUUAGUGGCGGACGGGUGAGUAACGCGUGGGUAACCUGCCUACAUACAGGGGGAUAACAGUUAGAAAUGACUGCUAACACCGCAUAAUAUAGCGAAACCGCAUGAUUUUGCUAUCAAAUAUUUAUAGGUAUGAGAUGGGCCCGCGUCUGAUUAGCUAGUUGGUGGGGUAAAAGCCUACCAAGGCGACGAUCAGUAGCCGGCUUGAGAGAGUGACCGGCCACAUUGGGACUGAGACACGGCCCAAACUCCUACGGGAGGCAGCAGUGGGGAAUAUUGGACAAUGGGGGAAACCCUGAUCCAGCGACGCCCGCGUGAGUGAAGAAGUAUUUCGGUAUGUAAAGCUCUAUCAGCAGGGAAGAUAAUGACAGUACCUGACUAAGAAGCCCCGGCUAACUACGUGCCAGCAGCAGC
This 499-nucleotide ribosomal RNA is filed under the name uncultured bacterium. RNAcentral describes it as "bacterial SSU rRNA". It matches the Rfam family "Bacterial small subunit ribosomal RNA", at positions 19 to 518 of the family's 1533-position model. The record is from RNAcentral.